This 74-nucleotide transfer RNA is filed under the name Polysiphonia sp. RNAcentral's name for it is "tRNA-Arg". It matches the Rfam family "tRNA". Rfam says of the family: Transfer RNA (tRNA) molecules are approximately 80 nucleotides in length. Their secondary structure includes four short double-helical elements and three loops (D, anti-codon, and T loops). Further hydrogen bonds mediate the characteristic L-shaped molecular structure. tRNAs have two regions of fundamental functional importance: the anti-codon, which is responsible for specific mRNA codon recognition, and the 3' end, to which the tRNAs corresponding amino acid is attached (by aminoacyl-tRNA synthetases). tRNAs cope with the degeneracy of the genetic code in two manners: having more than one tRNA (with a specific anti-codon) for a particular amino acid; and 'wobble' base-pairing, i.e. permitting non-standard base-pairing at the 3rd anti-codon position. Lineage: Eukaryota; Rhodophyta; Florideophyceae; Ceramiales; Rhodomelaceae. The record is from RNAcentral.
ACAUUUUUAGUUUAACCUGGAUAAAACUUCAAUCUUCUAAAUUGACAAUGUGAGUUCAAAUCUUACAAAAUGUG